RNAcentral lists this long non-coding RNA (584 nucleotides) under Panax ginseng (ginseng). Its description in RNAcentral is "long non-coding RNA (PGIN_LNC017057)". Lineage: Eukaryota; Viridiplantae; Streptophyta; Magnoliopsida; Apiales; Araliaceae. The record is from RNAcentral.
AUUGUGCAAUUUGUGUUUAUGUUUUCAUUAUUGACCUUUUCAAUUAAUCAUAUUUUUAGGAUGUGUGAAAGUUUCUUUAAUUGUUAUUCUUCAGUUUGUGGUUGUUUAUAUUAUGGUUUAUUAAUUAAAUCGUUUGUUGAAUGCAUAAUUGAUGUAUUUUUGUGACUUAGAUGAGGCUACUAUGAACUAAUCUGUGUUUUUAUUCCAAGAAAUUUGGAAGGCAUGAUUACAUUGUAGUUCAUCUAAGUAAAAAUCUAAUUAUAACAAAUUUUGUUGUAGGAACGCCUUAUCCGAGCGAUGAUCCUUUCAAACCUCUUAAGGUAUGUUAACCUCAUGAAAAACAUAGUUUUCUUAAAUUGUAGCGGAUUCAGGAGUUUCUGAACUGUUGAAACUUCAAUUGUUGGUUUUUACAGCUCACUUUUUGAUUGCUCUGUUUCUGUUCAUUUUUAUGUUAUUUUUUCAGCUAUAUGUGUGGAUUUGUAUGUCGAAAAUAACUCUUAUUUACUUUUUUUGUGGGGGAGGGGGGGGUGAAAUUGUGGGUUUUGUUCAAUUUCUCACAUUUGAGACGUAAAGGUCACUUUUUG